This is a non-coding RNA of Cordylochernes scorpioides, 73 nucleotides long. NCBI's taxonomy places the organism in Eukaryota, Metazoa, Arthropoda, Arachnida, Pseudoscorpiones, Chernetidae. The record is from the annotation of a GenBank genome assembly.
UGCCGAAACCCGUGCUCGAACCAGGGACCUUUAGAUCUUCAGUCUAACGCUCUCCCAACUGAGCUAUUUCGGC